Molecule: ribosomal RNA, 403 nt
Filed under: uncultured bacterium
Lineage: Bacteria
Description: bacterial SSU rRNA
Rfam family: Bacterial small subunit ribosomal RNA
Source: RNAcentral
UAGGGAAUAUUGGGCAAUGGGCGAAAGCCUGACCCAGCCAUGCCGCGUGAAUGAUGAAGGCCUUAGGGUUGUAAAGUUCUUUCGCCGAUGAAGAUAAUGACGGUAGUCGGAUAAGAAGCCCCGGCUAACUUCGUGCCAGCAGCCGCGGUAAUACGAAGGGGGCAAGCGUUGUUCGGAAUUACUGGGCGUAAAGCGCAUGUAGGCGGUCCUACAAGCCAGUGGUGAAAUCCCAGAGCUCAACUCUGGAAUUGCCUUUGGAACUGUAGGACUGGAGUCUCGGAGGGGGUGGUGGAAUUCCAAGUGUAGAGGUGAAAUUCGUAGAUAUUUGGAGGAACACCGGUGGCGAAGGCGACCACCUGGACGAGUACUGACGCUGAGAUGCGAAAGCGUGGGGAGCAAACAG